Molecule: long non-coding RNA, 483 nt
Organism: Octopus bimaculoides (California two-spot octopus)
Lineage: Eukaryota; Metazoa; Mollusca; Cephalopoda; Octopoda; Octopodidae
Source: RefSeq, a predicted model, not a curated record
UCCCUUGCUCGAUAUUCGUCCAUGUUUGAAUGUGUCCACUUCCUGAGCCUAUGUGUGGGGUUCGUGAGAACUGGCGCCACACUCUUCGCACAAAGAAUCAAAAUAAUGGUAGCAACGAUGAUGGCAAUUGUGGCAGUAGUGUCAGCCAUGCAGGUGAAGAUGUAUGGGAAACAACUUUGAGAGUGAAUAAAUUACUCUGCUAUUAAGAAAAUUGGAUCUUCACAGUUAGGUGGCGAUGAAGUUCACUUCACAAUUAUAUGGUUCUGUACUAAGGCAAUUGUCUUGGGUUGACCAAUACUGUGAUAGAUGAAAAUUGUGCUGAAGCCUGUCAAUAUGUAUAUGUAGAGACCAAUAAAAUAAAUACUAGGAGUUGAUGCAAUCAAGGCUGUGCUCUAGCAUGACCUUGGCCUAAUAACUGAAACUCAUGAAGAAAUGAUAUGAAUAAAAGUAAAUAUAGCAGUGUAUUUAUAAUUUAGAUGGUAA